Molecule: long non-coding RNA, 1376 nt
Filed under: Sus scrofa (pig)
Lineage: Eukaryota; Metazoa; Chordata; Mammalia; Artiodactyla; Suidae
Description: lncRNA (ENSSSCG00040058458.1)
Source: RNAcentral
AAGGCGUCUAGCAUGUAUUCAGUAACAUUUAUCUAACUAAUAUUUAUUAAACUCCCAGUACAUGACAGAUAUGGUGCCAGGCCUUGAGUACACAAUAGUGGGGAAGAUAAAGCAGGUUUCUGCUCCCACUAAACUCAAGCCAGGUGAAGAUGGACAACAACUAAACGUACAUUCAAAAUGAAGUGAGAUAAACAGGAUAAUAGUGGAAUGUCUUCCAGAUGGCUAUCUUGGUGUUUGCUGGUACCGACUACCACCCAAAUCAGAAAGUCCAGAAGAUGGAAAAGGACAGGCCUCACAGCAAAAUAUCCACCCUUAAGUCAACAGUGCUGCAGCUGAGAAACCACACGUUCGUGGACACUUUUUCUUCCAUCUCUUGCGCACCUCUUCCAGUACCUGACUCAGUGAUCAUACAUGGACAUGGGUGAUGUCAACUGCCUUUUGCCACCACGGAUGGUUUUGCUAUUCAUUAUAGGUUUGCCUAAAAUUAAUGUUAGGCCAUGAUGUAUGGUUGUUUAACAGCUUAUGCUUUCUUUUUUUAAUAGUCUUUAAGAAAAAAUUGAAACUUGUAAUCUGAAGUGGUAAAGAAAACAUAUUUUCAAACUUUGUUUAAAAUCCAAAUGAUCCUCAAACUAAUUAAAAUAAGAUCUAAGAUGGUGUCUGAUAUUUUCAAGGUCAUUGGAGAUAAUUACCUUGUUUUGAUCAUUCUUACCGAUAAUGGCACUAAAAGUAAUUUGGUGACAGGGCUAUCCCUAAUUGGAUAUGGCUGUCUUGGUUUUGGGUUUUUUUUUUGGGGGGGGGGGACUCUUUAGGGCUGCACCAGUGGUAUUUGGAGGUUCUAAGGCUAGGGGUUGAAUCAGAGCUGUAGCUGCUGGCCUACACCCCAGCCACAGCAAUGAGGGAUCAGAGCCACAUCUGUGACCUACACCACAGCUCACUGCAAUGCCAGAUCCUUAACUCAGGAGCAAGGCCAAGGGUCAAACCUGCAUCCUCAUGGAUGCUAGUCAGAUUCAUUUCUGCUGAGCCACGAUGGGAACUCCUGCCUUGUUAGUGAAGGGCAGUGCUGGAGCAGGGGGAAGGGGACGGGAAUGGGGGUGGGAUGAGGCAUAGCCACAAGUAGGAAAUUUUAUUUCUAGGCUAGUGUUACUUAAAAUAUUUGGGUGAAUAUUUCAUUUUACUUCCAAUGUAAAGAUAGCACUUUAAACUGCUUAUCACUAGAAACAGUUGAUUCUCAAGCAAGGUGAACCCUGUUUGUGUUGGGCCUUGGAGUAUCUGAGCAUAUUACUCCUGGAGGUAAAUUCUUCUCAGUUUGAGAAACGCAAUUACAAGGGGGAAAACAAUGCAAGGAAAGACAGAAGACUUAGAUUCCAAUCCUAGCU